CGCUUCUCCCGGGCCCGGCGGUCAAGGUCACCUCUCGGUGCCUACAGCUCCGAGCAGGCCCCGUGGGUCCCUUCGCGGGUGGACCCGGGAUGGGGGGCGGCUGAGGGGCGAGGGGACCUUCCCGGACUGCCCCCGACACCACUCGGAGUGUUUUGUCCCAGCGCACGGCAGCACUGACCUCUUGUGUCCCUUCGGACUCGGGAUGUCCCCAGCCGGGGGAUGGCGGAGAAAUCCUUUCCAGUCCUUUCCCAACCUAUUUUCGGCCUCAUCUUGCAGAAAUUAAUUUCCAAAGGAUGGAAAAGCCCCACAGCAAGGCUGGUGCCUUUGGCAAGGGUGGAAGCAUCAUCACAUCACUGCAGGGACAUAUUUAUGUUCAUAGUUAUAGAACAGGACAGGAAAUGAGUCUGAACAUCCAUCCCCCUUUACCAGUGCUGGGAGACUCAUCAUGGCCCCUUAAUAAUGAGUGUAUAGUUGAAUUAAUAAUUAAUAAGGAGCAUCCUCCGGUUCCGAACCCCCCUGUUGUACCGCAGCGACUCCAGCAGAGGGCAGCACCGCCCCGCCCCAUCCCGCCCCAUGGUGCUGGUUCUGGUUCCGAGUCCCGCAGAACCCUUGGGGCAGGGCUGAGCCCUUCCCUGAGAUCUGGAGCCCUGAAGUUAAAUCGCGUGGAAAAGUUUCAGAGGGGAAUAAAAGAAAAAUAAAAAUAAAUGAGAGGAGAGGGCACGGGAGGCUCUGACCCUAAAACUGGGAUUUUAGCCCCAUGUGGAGUGAAUCUGUCCCAGCACGGAAGCACCAGGAGCACUCAGCAUUUUUUUUUUGACUCUUUUAAGGGCCACGAGUAGGACUUGGGCAUCCUGCAGCUCUGCCCAGCAUUAAAGAGGUGAAAAAAAAAUAAAAAUAAAUGAACAGCCAGCAAAGGGAGAGAGGGGGCUCCUGGUCCUGCCCUGGGACCCUGCUCCCUGGGGCUCACCUGGGGAAGUUGUGCUCGUUUUAUUAUGUACAACAUGGCAGACCCGCUGAGGGAUGCAGUUAAUAAGACUUAAUUAAAACUUAUUUGCUUGGUUUCAGCCACGCACAGAGCCAGCUGCCUUCAUUGCACUGUGGGGUUUUAUAGCAGUGCAGAUUGGGAAGCUGAAAAAAAAAAAAAAAGGCUUUGAUUUCAGCCUGCAGGAGGGUUUGGGGCUGCCUGGGUGGGUGUCAGAGCUCCUGCUUCUGUUCCAGGUGGGGAGAUGGCCAUGGCAAUGGCUGUGUCAUUUAUAUCCGUGUUUAUAUCUAA
Molecule: long non-coding RNA, 1273 nt
Organism: Calypte anna (Anna's hummingbird)
Lineage: Eukaryota; Metazoa; Chordata; Aves; Apodiformes; Trochilidae
Exons: 4
Source: RefSeq, a predicted model, not a curated record